This 2716-nucleotide long non-coding RNA is filed under the name Junco hyemalis (dark-eyed junco). RNAcentral describes it as "lncRNA (ENSJHYG00000003140.1)". The record is from RNAcentral. Lineage: Eukaryota; Metazoa; Chordata; Aves; Passeriformes; Passerellidae.
UGGGCACAUCACCUUGUGUCACCCCUCGGGGCUUCAGCAGCUCCAGUGCUGCUCCUCUGCACAUCCCUGCAGCCCCUGCCCAUGGGUGAGACGCCUGCCUUCCCCACAGCGCUGCUGGCAGCACGGGGCUAAUCCCCCAGAGCCCUGAGCCGAUCGGGGUGGCUGGGGGGGCAGUGGCGAGCUGCAGUGGCCAGGGGAGCUCUCCGUGCCAGGGUGGCUGCCCAAGGAGGCAGUGCUGAGCCCGCGGGGGACCUGGAGACAGAAGGACACCAAGGACCUUCUUGGGCUGCCCAGGAGCCAGCCCAGUGAGCAGCUGGUGUUUCCUGGGCACUGUGCACCCCGUGCUGGGCUCUGCCAGCUGAAGAGCCCGGGCAGUGCCCGCAGCCAGCGGGAUGAUGGGCUGGAUUGACCGGGUGGUGCCCCAGCCCCCGGUGCCCCACGUGGCGGAGGAGAGCCCUGUGCAGCCAGCCAAGGCACCGACAGCAAAGGCUGCUGGCCCCACAGAUGCUGCUGAACGGGCACGCACGGAGGAAACAGAAAAGAAAGUGACCUUUGUGGCUUCUGAGGACUCGAGUUCUGUGUUUGACAGUGUGGGGAGCAGUGUCCUCUCCUGGCUCUCCCAUGGGCUGGAGAAGGUGAUUCCCCAGCCAGCCCCAGCCCCAGGGCUGCAGGCACUCGGGAAGAGCUUCGAGACAAGCAUCGACGUUGCUGAUGAGACAGAGGUCCAGGUCAUUGGGGAUGAGGACGACGAUGGUCUGGAGAUAACUCCCUUCGAUGCCGAGGACGACGCGUCCGAGGGGGAGCUGGAGAGCGCCCCGGAGCAGUGGGCAGGACAGCGGGUUCUCAGCUGGCUCUCACAGGGCUUCGAGAGGAUUCUGCCGCAGCCAGAGGGCAUGAAAAAGACGGAGACAGAGCCGAAGGAGAAGAGCGAAGGCGCGGUGGAAGGCACAGAAGGGACUAAAACCCAGGUGAAGUCGAAGCCCAGCGCUGCAGGCGUUCCGAGUGCCCCGGCGGCAGCGAAGGCAGCGGCGGCCCAGGCCCAGCCGGAGCCAGGGGCUGCCCUGAGCCCUCAGCCCGUGGCUAUGGAUGGCACCAGGAUGUUCAGCUGGUUUGUCCAGGGGCUGGAGAAGGUGAUGCCACAGCCGGUGACCAGGGAGAAGCAGGACACACAGGGAGUGGCCACCGCAACCUCGAGUCCUGUGGAACAAAGGGGCAAAGGGGCUUAGCGCCUCUGAAACAAACGGAAAACGAAGACCGUGGCAAACCAGCCCUUCCCACACCCCAAAGAGACCAGCCUGAGGAGAAAGCACAGCUGGGGAGGAAAAGCAAAGGGGAAUCUGCAAAUGGUGUCCAGCUCCUUCCCAGCUGGGGCAGUGGGGACCCAAAGCUGGCACAGGGACCCAGCCCCAGGGCUGCCCCACUUGGCUCCCUCUUUGCUCUGGGAAUUGGAGCUGCUGCUUUUGCAGGAUGGCGUCUGUGAGAUGGGAGCUAUAAUUUAUAGGAUGGUAGAAAAGCAUCACUCAGGACACCUCAGAGGCAGAAAGCCUCUUGCUGCAGUCUCCCAGCAUUCCUGGCCCUCUCAAUGCCCCCACAACAUCUGAAUAUUCACCCCAAGACCCCCAGCUGAAAUCUCCAGGCUUCUUUGAGUCAACUUCUGCCUCUGGGGUGUAAUGUUAUAAACCUCUUGAAGCUCUUGUCAUGUCCUUGUUGCUUUUCUUCCAUAACUGAGUGUUUCCUCCCAGCAAGUGGAAAGGGCUCUGAUUUGCAGCAGCAAAUCAGGAGGGUGAGGUUAAUCUCCAGGUGAAUAGGUUGGAGUUAAUGGUUAACCAUAUUUGCCCAGGUUUUUCUUCUGAGAGAACUUACCCCAAACUCUCCUUACCCCCAGCUAUGGCUGCUCCCUCCUGAAGCUGAGAGCUUCAGCACUACCUGCAGCAGCAGGAAUGUCCCAGCAGGGAGGGGGUUCCAGGGGCUGUCUCCAGCCCAGAGGCUGCAGGCAGGCAUGGGGGGUGGGAGCCCCUACACCCCAGGUUUUGGAUACAGACCUUGGAGCAGCAGACUGGUUUGGGUUGUGAGUGACCUUUGAAGAUGAUCUGGUCCAGCUUCCCUGUCCAUUAGACAAGGUUGCUGCAGGCCCUGUCCAACCUGGCCUUGAACACUUCCAGGAUGGGGCAGCCACAGCACACUAUUCCUUCCUUAUGUCCAAUAUGGAUGUCCUUCUUUCAGUUUAAAACUGCUGCCCCUUGUCCUUGCAGACCCUGGUACAAAGCCUUUUUCCACAUUUUGAAUAGCCCCCUGAUGUAUUGACAGGCCAGGUUGAGAUCUCCCACUGUUGCAUCUCUUUAGGAUCAUCCAGGCAACUCUGAGUUGUGAGCCUGGAGACCCCUGGAGAUCCAUCCCUGCGUUUAAAAUGAAUCUUGCUUAUACCAGGACACAGUUUUAGUAUUUACCACAUUUUCAUAUAAUGUAUCCAAAAGCCAUGGUGUGCUUUAGAAGCCAUUCCCCUGAUUGCUGCCCCAUGUUUUAAUUAAUGGAGAUCCAGAGGGAAUAGGCUGAAGGCAUUGUGGACACCAUGGGGUGGGUAAACAAGCCACAGAUAUGACACUGCAUGGGUUUCCUGCCUUUCUGUAGUUCAGUUUGCACGUUUCCUAUUAGCUUUGCUGUGGAUAUGUAAGUUUUGCUGUCAGGCAGACCUCAAAAUAAACUGGUUUUCCAGCGA